UACGUAGGGGGCAAGCGUUAUCCGGAUUUACUGGGUGUAAAGGGUGCGCAGACGGUUUGGCAAGUCAGAAGUGAAAACCUAAGGCUCAACCAUAGGAUUGCUUUUGAAACUGUUAAACUAGAGUGUCGGAGGGGUAAGUGGAAUUCCUAGUGUAGCGGUGAAAUGCGUAGAUAUUAGGAGGAACACCAGCGGCGAAGGCGGCUUACUGGACGAUAACUGACGUUGAGGCACGAAAGCGUGGGGAGCGAAC
RNAcentral lists this ribosomal RNA (250 nucleotides) under uncultured prokaryote. RNAcentral describes it as "partial 16S ribosomal RNA". It matches the Rfam family "Bacterial small subunit ribosomal RNA", at positions 524 to 773 of the family's 1533-position model. The record is from RNAcentral.